AACGAACGCUCGCGGCAGGCCUAACACAUGCAAGUCGAGCGGACCUUUCGGGGUCAGCGGCGGACGGGUGAGUAACGCGUGGGAAUAUGCCCUUCUCUACGGAAUAGUCCUGGGAAACUGGGGGUAAUACCGUAUACGCCCUUUGGGGGAAAGAUUUAUCGGGGAAGGAUUAGCCCGCGUUGGAUUAGGUAGUUGGUGGGGUAAUGGCCUACCAAGCCGACGAUCCAUAGCUGGUUUGAGAGGAUGAUCAGCCACACUGGGACUGAGACACGGCCCAGACUCCUACGGGAGGCAGCAGUGGGGAAUCUUAGACAAUGGGGGCAACCCUGAUCUAGCCAUGCCGCGUGAGUGAUGAAGGCCUUAGGGUUGUAAAGCUCUUUCAGCUGGGAAGAUAAUGACGGUACCAGCAGAAGAAGCCCCGGCUAACUCCGUG
This 433-nucleotide ribosomal RNA is filed under the name uncultured bacterium. Its description in RNAcentral is "partial 16S ribosomal RNA". It matches the Rfam family "Bacterial small subunit ribosomal RNA", at positions 29 to 507 of the family's 1533-position model. The record is from RNAcentral.